GCAGCACAGCUCACAAUGCCAUCCGCUGCUCUGCCACCACAGAUCUUCUGUGAAUGCAGUCUGUCUUCCACAUUAUUUUAAACAGAGGUGUGAAUACCAGGGCGCUAUCUCUAUGUGGACCACUGGCUUUCGUUAGCUGUCGGAGCUUUUGAUGAUGUUGGCAACAAAGAUUGAAGAUGGAAGUUUUUGACCAGGAUUAAGUCACACCUAAGGUUUUAUUAAUGGAAGAAAGCAAUCCUCUGUUAGUGAAGGAGACCACAACUGAACAUCACAAAUAAUUGCAAAACUGGGAGGAGUUUCUGUCUGUUCCCUUGGAGGUCCCUUUCACAUAGCAAAUGAAUAAUGGGUUGCAGUCGGGAUAAAGGAACCUGUUUUCCUGCUUUUGCAUUCACAUGCAUCU
This is a long non-coding RNA of Sphaerodactylus townsendi, 400 nucleotides long. RefSeq lists it as uncharacterized. The transcript has 4 exons. Lineage: Eukaryota; Metazoa; Chordata; Lepidosauria; Squamata; Sphaerodactylidae. The record is from RefSeq and is a predicted model, not a curated record.